RNAcentral lists this transfer RNA (67 nucleotides) under Mopalia retifera. Its description in RNAcentral is "tRNA-Val". The record is from RNAcentral. Lineage: Eukaryota; Metazoa; Mollusca; Polyplacophora; Chitonida; Mopaliidae.
UAAAAUGAAGCAAUUAUUGCAUUUUAUUUACACUAAAAAGUUAAUCUAAUUUUAUAGAUCAUUUUAA